This 253-nucleotide ribosomal RNA is filed under the name uncultured bacterium. RNAcentral's name for it is "partial 16S ribosomal RNA". It matches the Rfam family "Bacterial small subunit ribosomal RNA", at positions 524 to 776 of the family's 1533-position model. The record is from RNAcentral.
CACGUAGGGCGCAAGCGUUGUCCGGAAUUAUUGGGCGUAAAGAGCUCGUAGGCGGUCUGUUGCGUCUGCUGUGAAAACUCGGGGCUCAACCCCGAGCCUGCAGUGGAUACGGGCAGACUAGAGGUAGGUAGGGGAGAAUGGAAUUCCCGGUGUAGCGGUGAAAUGCGCAGAUAUCGGGAGGAACACCGGUGGCGAAGGCGGUUCUCUGGGCCUUACCUGACGCUGAGGAGCGAAAGCGUGGGGAGCGAACAGG